CAAUAGCGUAUAUUAAAGUUGUUGCGGUUAAAAAAGCUCGUAGUUGGAUUUCUGCCGAGGACGACCGGUCCGCCCUCUGGGUGAGUAUCUGGUUCGGCCUGGGCAUCUUCUUGGAGAACGUAUCUGCACUUGACUGUGUGGUGCGGUAUCCAGGACUUUUACUUUGAGGAAAUUAGAGUGUUUCAAGCAGGCACACGCCUUGAAUACAUUAGCAUGGAAUAAUAAGAUAGGACCUUGGUUCUAUUUUGUUGGUUUCUAGAGCUGAGGUAAUGAUUAAUAGGGAUAGUUGGGGGCAUUCGUAUUUAACUGUCAGAGGUGAAAUCCUUGGAUUUGUUAAAGCCGGACUACUGCGAAAGCAUUUGCCAAGGAUGUUUCAUUGAUCAAGAACGAAAGUUAUUGGGCCGAAGACGAUUAGAUACCG
RNAcentral lists this ribosomal RNA (421 nucleotides) under uncultured eukaryote. Its description in RNAcentral is "SSU rRNA". It matches the Rfam family "Eukaryotic small subunit ribosomal RNA", at positions 592 to 1017 of the family's 1831-position model. The record is from RNAcentral.